This 301-nucleotide ribosomal RNA is filed under the name uncultured bacterium. Its description in RNAcentral is "partial 16S ribosomal RNA". It matches the Rfam family "Bacterial small subunit ribosomal RNA", at positions 509 to 807 of the family's 1533-position model. The record is from RNAcentral.
CAGCCGCCACGGUAAUACGAAGGGUGCAAGCGUUAAUCGGAAUUACUGGGCGUAAAGCGUGCGUAGGCGGUUUGUUAAGUCUGUUGUGAAAUCCCCGGGCUCAACCUGGGAAUGGCAAUGGAUACUGGCAAGCUAGAGUGUGUCAGAGGAUGGUGGAAUUCCCGGUGUAGCGGUGAAAUGCGUAGAGAUCGGAAGGAACAUCUGUGGCGAAGGCGACUAUCUGGGCCAACACUGACACUGAGGCACGAAAGCGUGGGGAGCAAACAGGAUUAGAUACCCCUGUAGUCCCUGUCUCUUAUAC